UAAUAAAGGUCAAUAACUUGCGGUAAAAAAUUGUAAAUGAAAUAAAAAAAACAAAGCUUGACUAAAAAGUAUCAGAUUAUAUCGUGGUUUACCACUUUGAUAUAAAAGAAAUAGCAAUGUUUACAUACUUACUACGAAUAAGUGACUUUUUAAGCACCGGUAUAAAUAUAAAAUAUAAAAUUACAAAUAAAACAUUAAGGCCAGUAUCCAACGAUCAACGCGACAUAAAAAAUUACAGCAGGCAGGCAGCAGACAGUACACAACUUGGAUGCCCAACUGUAAUGUAAUGUUAUAUUACUCUGUAGCUCUCCGCACACCUAAUCAGUACACGAUCCACAUAAAAGGACAUUAUUCUCGGUGAUAGUAAGAGACGUAUACUCACAACACGAUUAUUGUAACGUUUAAUUAUGAAAGUGUCACCAUUAAAACUUCUUGCAAUCGAUAAAGAGAUCAGUGGGAUAUUUAGAGUGAAGAAAAAAUAUUAAUAACAGACAUAAGAAAAUAAUCUUCUACAUAAACAUAAAGAGAAA
This is a long non-coding RNA of Cotesia glomerata, 530 nucleotides long. RefSeq lists it as uncharacterized. The record is from RefSeq and is a predicted model, not a curated record. Lineage: Eukaryota; Metazoa; Arthropoda; Insecta; Hymenoptera; Braconidae. The transcript has 2 exons.